Long non-coding RNA from Phocoena sinus (vaquita), 2166 nucleotides. NCBI's taxonomy places the organism in Eukaryota, Metazoa, Chordata, Mammalia, Artiodactyla, Phocoenidae. The record is from Ensembl.
GCAACGGCUGGGGAGGUUUCCCCAGCUCAGACGUGCAGCAAGGACGCCACAGAUUGCGUCAGGCGGCCGGCAGUGGGCACGGACGAGGGCACCGGUCGUCUCCCCAUCAGCCCCUUUACGGCCUGGGCCCUUCAAGAACUAUGGCGGGCCGGCCCCAGGAGGGUGUCUUUCAAGCAGUCCUGCCAGUGCACCUGGCCGAGUCACUGCCACCCCAGGCAGCACGGACUCUUUACCAGGUCCAGUGCAGGACACGUCCAGAAGGAGGGCUCUGGGCGGCGUAAAUGCCCGUCUCUGGGGUUUCGUCCGGGAGCACGUACUCUGGAGAAGCGUCCGAGGCACCUCCGCCUUCCGCACAGGUGCCUCACGCUGUUGGCGCGCGUGAGCAAAUGGAGAAACUGAGUCACGGGGCUGACAAGGUGUUCUGCGGAAGCUGAAAGACUGAGUCAGACCGGGCGGUCAGAGCUUGCGGGUCACGUGAGGGCUACGCCCCAGGCCAGGUGUGGGACUUCCUGAGCCCAAAUAGGCUCCGCGAAAAGCAGGUCAGAGCGCUUGGAACUGCUGUUGUCACUUUGGCAGUGGUGUCCCGACCUGCGGAGAGAAGCCGUAAAGACAGAAAAGUCAGGUCAGUCCUGCCCCAAGGCGAUGGGUUUCGUUCUGCCUGGACAGGAGAGUUUUGCAACAAUGGUUGGGUUAAUCUUAGGCACUGAGGCUCUGGAAGUGGAGGGCAAGGAGGGCCCAAUAAGGCCCCCCAGAGGGCUGUGAGCAGCUACCGGCCUUCGCCCUUGGCUACUGGCUUCCCAACCCACAGAGGGUCCGCAGGUCGCCUGGGGUUGACCCCCUAAGCAGCAGCCAGGGGAAAGGGAAACAGAGGGAGCAGAAGCCCUCGCAGAACUGGCUCCGAGGGACUGCUGCUUAGGUCAGGGGACUGUUGAGGAAUAGGGAGAGCCCUCUGGCAGGGAAAAGGGGCAGUAUUGCUUCUCAUUCGAUCCUAAUUAGAUAUUUAAACUAAAAAUUAUCUGCACACUUAAAGGAAUCAUUCCAAAGUUGCCUAAGAUAUAAUCUCCAGUAGAAAUGUUUCACUAUGUUGUGUAUAGUAUGAAGCUAGAUCUUUAAAAACAAGUUAUAUAUUAAUAUUAGUAAAAGAAAUAAUAUGGAAUAAUAUACAUAAACUGUUAGCAGAGCCUGUCACCAGAGGAGGACUUUCCAUAUUAAAUGUAAAUAUUUAUGGAAAAGUGGGUUUCUUACAAGGAGCAUGAAUUACUUUUCCCACUGGAAAAAAUUACAGGCAAAUGGUUGUUUCUGGUUAUUUCUUUCUCCUUCCCUCCAUUCCCCAUGUUCACUCUCCCCUCUUCUCCUCUCUCUAUCCUGUCUCCUUUAGUCCACCUCCUUUGCUGCUUAGGGAAAAUAUCCCCCCUCCAUCUACCACCUUUGAUAGUGGCGUGGGAGGUGAGAAACUGGUACUAACACAUUGCUGAAAGUAUCAGAAUUGGCACAAACAACCCUUUGAAAAAGCAGCUUGGUGAUACAAAUCAAGAAUCAUAAAAUGUCCCUGCCCUUUGACCCAAUACUUCCACUCCAUGAAAUUAUUCAAAAUAUGGGAAAAGCCAUAUUCCUCAAGAUUUUUCAAUGCAUUGUUACUUAUUAUAGCUAAAACAAAAGAAGAAAUGCUACUUAAAUAUCCAAAAAUAGCUAAACGUUUAAGUAAAUUAUCCACAUGGUGGAGAAGUACACACACACAUGUAUACACGACUUAAAAAUCCUGCAAUAAAUGAUUAGUUACAUAAAUUUGAUAUAGACAUAAGAUUAAAUCUGUGCAGUCAUUAGAAACAAUUAUGUAUGACUAUACUUAUUGACUUGGAAACCUAUCUAUGAUGCAUAUAUAAUUAAGUAAAAAACAGAUUAUAAAAUAACCUAAAAUAACUUUUUAAACUUAAAAAGUAUAUAUGUGUUUAUUUCCCAAAAAAAAAAUCUAGGGGCUUCCCUGGUGGCGCAGUUGGUUGAGAGUCCACCUGCCGAUGCAGGGGACACGGGUUCAUGCCCCGGUCCGGGAAGAUCCCACAUGCCACGGAGCGGCUGGGCCCGUGAGCCAUGGCCGCUGAGGCUGCGCGUCCGGAGCCUGUGCUCUGCAACGGGAGAGGCCACAACAGUGAGAGGCCCGCGUACCGC